GACGAACGCUGGCGGCGUGCCUAAUACAUGCAAGUCGAACGCAGUGGGGACGGGUGAGUAACACGUGGGUAACCUCCCAUCAGAGGGGAUAACACUUGGAAACAGGUGCUAAACCGAUACUGAUGGAUGGACCCGCGGGGCAUUAGCUAGUUGGUGAGGUAACGGCUCACCAAGGCCACGAUGCAUAGCCGGCCUGGUAGGGGGAUCAGCAACACUGGGACUGCGACACGGCCCAGACUCCUACGGGAGGCAGGAGUGGGGAAUCUGCGGCAAUGGACGAAAGUCUGCCCGAGCAACGCCGCGUGAGUGAAGAAGGUUUUCGGAUCGUAAAACUCUGUUGUUAGAAAAGCGGUAUCUAACCAGAAAGCCACGGCUAACUACGUGCCAGCAGCCGCGGUAAUUC
RNAcentral lists this ribosomal RNA (403 nucleotides) under uncultured bacterium. RNAcentral's name for it is "partial 16S ribosomal RNA". It matches the Rfam family "Bacterial small subunit ribosomal RNA", at positions 28 to 526 of the family's 1533-position model. The record is from RNAcentral.